CAAUAGCGUAUAUUUAAGUUGCUGCAGUUAAAAAGCUCGUAGUUGGAUUUCGGGUGGGAAUGGCCGGUCCGCCGUCUCGGUGUGCACUUGCUACGCCCACCUUGCUGCCGGGGACGUGCUCUUGAGUUCACGCUCGGGACACGGAGUCGGCGAGGUUACUUUGAGUAAAUUAGAGUGUUCAAAGCAGGCCUACGCUCUGAAUACAUUAGUAUGGAAUAGCACGAUAGGACUCUGGCCUAUCUUGUUGGUCUGUAGGACCGGAGUAAUGAUUAAGAGGGACAGUCGGGGGCAUUCGUAUUUCAUUGUCAGAGGUGAAAUUCUUGGAUUUAUGAAAGACGAACUACUGCGAAAGCAUUUGCCAAGGAUGUUUUCAUUAA
This 377-nucleotide ribosomal RNA is filed under the name uncultured eukaryote. RNAcentral describes it as "partial 18S ribosomal RNA". It matches the Rfam family "Eukaryotic small subunit ribosomal RNA", at positions 592 to 976 of the family's 1831-position model. The record is from RNAcentral.